UACGUAGGGACCAAGCGUUGUUCGGAUUUACUGGGCGUAAAGGGCGCGUAGGCGGCAAUUCAAGUCAUCUGUGAAAACUCCGGGCUUAACUCGGAAUGGUCAGGUGAUACUGCUUUGCUAGAGUGCAGAAGGGGCAAUCGGAAUUCUUGGUGUAGCGGUGAAAUGCGUAGAUAUCAAGAGGAACACCUGAGGUGAAGACGGGUUGCUGGGCUGACACUGACGCUGAGGCGCGAAAGCUAGGGGAGCAAACGGG
RNAcentral lists this ribosomal RNA (253 nucleotides) under uncultured bacterium. RNAcentral describes it as "partial 16S ribosomal RNA". It matches the Rfam family "Bacterial small subunit ribosomal RNA", at positions 524 to 776 of the family's 1533-position model. The record is from RNAcentral.